AUGAAACACUCCUACGGGAGGCAGCAGUGGGGAAUUUUGGACAAUGGGAGCAACCCUGAUCCAGCAAUGCCGCGUGAGUGAAGAAGGCCUUCGGGUUGUAAAGCUCUUUUGUCAGGGAAGAAACGGUAGUAGCUAAUAUCUAUUACUAAUGACGGUACCUGAAGAAUAAGCACCGGCUAACUUCGUGCCAGCAGCCGCGGUAAUACGAAGGGUGCAAGCGUUACUCGGAAUUACUGGGCGUAAAGCGUGCGUAGGUGGUUUGUUAAGUCUGAUGUGAAAGCCCUGGGCUCAACCUGGGAAUUGCAUUGGAUACUGGCAGGCUAGAGUGCGGUAGAGGGUAGUGGAAUUCCCGGUGUAGCAGUGAAAUGCGUAGAGAUCGGGAGGAACAUCCGUGGCGAAGGCGACUACCUGGACCAGCACUGACACUGAGGCACGAAAGCGUGGGGAGCAAACAGGAUUAGAAACCCUAGUAGUCCGAAGUUC
This 483-nucleotide ribosomal RNA is filed under the name uncultured bacterium. RNAcentral's name for it is "bacterial SSU rRNA". It matches the Rfam family "Bacterial small subunit ribosomal RNA", at positions 328 to 802 of the family's 1533-position model. The record is from RNAcentral.